Ribosomal RNA from Sinocyclocheilus anshuiensis, 117 nucleotides. NCBI's taxonomy places the organism in Eukaryota, Metazoa, Chordata, Actinopteri, Cypriniformes, Cyprinidae. The record is from Ensembl.
AUCAGCAGCCAUAUCACCCUGUAGCCCAAGACUGGUCGCCCACUGAGGCUAAGCAGGGUUGAGCCUGGUCAGUACCUGGAUGGGAGACCUCCUGGGGUAACUAGGUUGCAGCUGGAA